AUCGAGCUGCGCAAUCAGGGCGUGCGGCCCCGGGUCUGGUUCGGGGAGCGGUGGAUCACCUCCACGUUCGACC
This 73-nucleotide transfer RNA is filed under the name Tsukamurella pulmonis. RNAcentral describes it as "tRNA-Gln(ctg)". The record is from RNAcentral. Lineage: Bacteria; Bacillati; Actinomycetota; Actinomycetes; Mycobacteriales; Tsukamurellaceae.